This 5934-nucleotide long non-coding RNA is filed under the name Equus caballus (horse). Its description in RNAcentral is "lncRNA (ENSECAG00000050436.1)". The record is from RNAcentral. Lineage: Eukaryota; Metazoa; Chordata; Mammalia; Perissodactyla; Equidae.
AGGAAACACAAAGAAGAAAAUAACAAAUCAUACUAAUUACACUUCCAGAGAUAUAUAUUGUUACUAUUUUGGUUACAUCUUUUAAGAUUUUUUUCUGUGCGUAUUUGUGGAUAUAUACAAACAUACACAUUUCACUACAUAAAUUGGUUUGUAUUGUACAUACUGUUCUGUGAAUUGCUUUUUGUAGUUAGUUGCGAACAGUUUUCCUUGUCAAUAAAUAAACUUCUUGUGAGUCUCUCAUAUUUCACUGUGUACCUACCAUGGUUUAACUAAUCUCUUGUUAUUGCCCGUUUAGGUUACUAACAGUUGUGGCCUAUGUAUAAUACUAACUCUGUGCACCUCCUUAUUUAUUCUUAUUUUUUUAAAAGAUUUUAGGGGCUGGCCCGGUGGUUCAGUGGUUAAGUGCACACAUUCUGCUUCUUGGCGGCCCGUGGUUCACCGGUUCGGACGUGGCAGCAUGGCUUGAUAAGCAGUGUGUACAUCCAUGCCCGGGAUCCGAACCAGUGAACCCCAGGCUGCUGAAGCGGAGUGCACAAACUUAACUGCUAUGCCACCCGGCCAGCCCCUCAAGGAUGUUGGUACAAAUUGCCCAAUUGUCUUCCAGAAAAGAUGUAUCAACUUAGACUCUCACCACCAGUCCUGUGAGAGUAUCUCUUUCACUACAUCCUUCCCAACACAAGGAUGAGCUUUGAAGUCAUUGUGCCAAGUCCUGCUUGUUCCUUUGGACUACACAGUGGGAGCUGGAAACAUGGGUGACCCCCGUAGGGGCUUUUGUAUUCAUAAGCACCAGGCUUACGAACGAAUACAAACACAGCAAGUCCCAGGAGCUGGUUUUGGUGGGGCUGGACUUCUCCAUGCAGAAUCACAUGGCCUCUUUAGGAAGAAGCCCCUCGCCGCCAUUGACCUCCACUUGGGGCAUCCUCCUGUCUCCAGUCCAAAGACAAUCCUGUGGACCUCAGAGCUCUUGUGUCUCUGCUGCUGCAGCACCCAUCCAUAUGUGCCCCACUGUGGCCGAGCCAGCCUGUACUGGGGUGUUCCUGUCCAUCUUGCAGGGGACCCUGCCUCCAGCCAGUGUCCUCUCCAAGCCUGUCUCCUCUAAGGAUUUCCUGUGGGUUAGCUCUGGGGAUCUUUUCUUAAUCUAUUCCUACGUGUGUUAUUACAGAAAGAAUUAUUCAUAAUUGCCAGCAUUGUGAUGGCUUCUUCCUAGUUUCUUUUGAGCCUGCAUGUUUUUCCCUACUUGACAUUUUCUAGGUUCUCUCCUACUUAAGUGACUUCUUCAGGAUCUUUUCUAUUGAGGAGUAAUGAACGAACAGUAAAGUCACAAAUCCUAAGCAUACAUUGCAGUGAAUUUUUACAUAUGUGUACACUAUGUAACCACCCCCCCAAUCAAGGUGUUUCUUUUAGAGUUGAGAAGUUCUUGGUGGGAGGUUGAGUGGAGAAGGAAAUCAUGAGUGUGUCCCCGAGCUACCGUCUUUUUCUAGAACUCUCUUUAAAGGGUGUUAAGGAGGGAGCUGAACGUCAAGUCUAUACAGUGGUGUGGAGAGCAGAAUGCUUAGGCGUGGCAGGUCAUGUUCUGGUCCUCCCCCUUACUAGCCGUGGGACUUCUGUGCCUCAGUUUCAACCACUGUAAAAUGGGAGUAGAUGAUAGCUCUUACCUCACAAGGUUAUCAUGAAGAUUACACGAGGCAGUACAUGUAAGUGCACAAAAAAUGUUAAUUGUUAUUUUUGUUGUUAUUAAUAAUGAGGAGGAGGCACUGGUUCUUAAUGAAGGAUAUGUAUCAGAAUCACCUGGGGCACUUUCGCAAAAUACACAUGCUCAACCUGGCCAGAUCUACUGAGUCAGAAUCUAGAUUUUAAAUGCCUCCCCAGGUUCAUUCUGUUGCUCAUCCGUGGUUGAGAACCACUGGGCUGGAGGUGGUCAUGACUGGAAGCAGGAAGGCCAACAGGUCUCAAAAUUUUCCGCAUCCUCUGAUGGAGGAGCUUAAUCCUUAUUCAUCAGUAUCUUCAGACAGCACAUCUGGUUGGGGCAAUGUCUUAUCUUCCAACACCCCCUGAUCCCCCAUGCUCUCACACAUACUCAGCCUCUGGUGGAUGGCUUCUUAGACUCUGGCUUUCUUCAGGCCCUUGAUAUCAACGAGUUGCUCUUUGGCAAGAAUUUAAGCCCUUCGAGUACCUCUCCCAGAGGCGUUUGCAUUUAGAACUAUAGGUGUAAUAGAAAUAAUGGAAGAUGUUGCAUUCCUGAGGGAAGGCGAUCCUGGAAUGAAAUAUUCAUUCUCUCAUUCUAGAACAUCCCUGUCUAGUAGACCUUUCUGCGUUGAUGGAAAUGUUCUUCUGUGCUAUACAAUACGAUAGUCACUAGCCACAUGUGGCUAUUGAGUGUUUGAAAUGUGGCUAGUGUAACCGAGGAAUUGGAUUUUUCAUUUUAAUUAAUUAAAAGUUAAAUUUAAGUUGACAGAAGAAAAGCACGCACUGUUAGUUUGCAUUCACUGGAUCAAUGAACGAUAGGGACGCCAGGCCUGACACUCUACUAUCAAGCAGCCCCCAAAGGUCACUUUGAAAUCAAAUGGGCUUUCUGUCUCUCGCCCCUCCAAGAAGCAGGUAUCUACAGCUGCCCCCACAGGCCUCUCUGAGCCCCUGCGCUCCCCACUCCUUACCUAGGACAUUGCCCAUGCCUUUCCUUUUGCCCUGCUGCCCCCUCUCCCUAUUCCUGCUCAUGCCAUAGCAUCCUCACUUCCCCCGCAAAAGGCUUCCCUGACUCCUGUCCCUUCCAGGUGAAGCCAGGUUUAGGGCCCUGAAUAGAUUCCAUUUGGCUUCCCCGUUGCAGGUGGAGGUGGCAGGGAUGGAUCUCAGGAAUAUGUAGCUGCAGGACGGAUGUGCAUUGGAUCACUGUGUUUCAAACUUCCUUCAAUAUAUCUCAUGUCCCAACCACCACACACACCUCCAUACAGAUAGAUACAACCAAAGCAAAAGCUUUAGAAAAAUAACACUCUCACUACAUGUGAUGCACUUGGAUAUUUUCUGUUCUAUUUAUUUUUUUAAAAAAAAUGUUGGUUGUGACCCACUAAACUGAUUUCACAACCCAGUAACAGGUCACAACCCACAGGGUAAAAAAAUACAGAGUGAGGUCAUUGCUGCUCAGGAAAACUCCAAACACAGGCCAAGUGGCCCUGUCCAGACAGUUCCUCUGGGUUCCUGAAGAGCUGGCAGCCAAUGGCACUGGCAGCUCUGUGCUCUUGGUGGUGGUUGACGUGGUGGGGCUCUGCUCUCUCCGUGGAGUCUCCUUUCAGGGCCCCAGUUGCUCAUGCCAUAAAGUGGUCAUGGUCACAGAUGCUGCCUCAGUGCUGUGGAAGGAGGUUCCAGCCUAUAAAGCACUCCAGACAGUAGAGAGAAAGACACUAGCUCACCGUCAGGCGUCAUAAGACUGUACACCUCAUCCCUCUUGAUGAGGCUCCUCAUGGAGGCAAAGCUCCCGGGCCUAGUGGGGCUACAAACAGCAGAUAGAGUAAGAGCAAAACAUGGGGCUCCUGCAUGCAGCGUCAUAAGAAUAGAAACGUCUUACCAGCCAGAGGAUGGGUCAUAAAUGUAUGUAAGGAGUGUUCCAGGUGGGAGUCUGGGAGCCCCGUCUUCCUUUGGACUUUAGCCCUGAACCAGAAGUUAUUGAAAACAGGACCCACAGAAAUAGCUACAUCAGAAUCCCUGCCUCUAAACCGGGUGUUUAUUCCUCUCAUGGCCUCACACUCUGUCAACUCUUACUUAGCAAACUGUUCUAACAAGAGUGGCUGUCUGAUUUCCCAACUCCUACAGAAGAAAAGAAAUGGCCCGGAGAGGUGGGAGGCGGUUUUUAGAGCCAGAUGUGUAGAUAACAGAAAAGUAAAGACCAUGGGAAGGACAGAAACAAUAAGAAGGACACACAGUCACUUUACUCUCUAGUUCCAUAGGGGAUGCUCCUAAAGAUGACUACUUCAGUGGGAAAAGGAUAUUUUUUUAAGGUGUUAGGGAACUGCGGUCACAUUUUAGCAAGAUUUCCCUUUAAAGUGGUUAAAAUAGUGUUUUAGCAAUUGAAAUUUCACUUUUCAGAAAAAGUAAUCCAUGGGAACCUCAGUGAUUUUGGAUAAAUUAGGUGCUGUUGAGCCAGUCCUGACUAAGGCCAUCCAUCGUCCCCAUGGGUUUGAGGCACGCUGUGAUCUCAGGGUCCUACCCACCCAGCCCUAGUCUGCCUCACAGCCCCAAACCCCUUGUUACUCUUGCAUUCCUUUUUCACCAGUGUGAAUUCCCGAAUAAUCCUUUCCAGUCUGAAAGCUUGCUGAUAGUGGCUCCCUGAUGCCCCGAAGAUAGGUGUAGAGAGAGGACUCUGAGCUGGGCACUCCCUGGAGAUGGCAGGCCUGGGUGGGGUGGCCUAAAUGACCAGAGGGCAGGACAAAGCCCCUGGGAUUUGGGCUGGGGUGAGUUUUUAGAGAGCAGUGGUGGGUGGGCUUGUAAGACAAAUUCUGCCCUGUUCCCUGCUUUGCCUGAGGACAGCCUACUCAAGCAGCAGGGCCAGGUCUGUUUCUCCAGUAGGCUGUUCUCUCCUGGCCUCUUGGCCACCUGGUCCCCAGAUCUGCUUCUGUGAGUCACCCUGGGUGACUGCAGGGGUGUUCCAAUCAGUGAGGGAACCUCAAAGAAAAGCCGGAUAUUUCUGAGACAAAGGUGAUUUAUUCCACACCAUCUGAGAAGGUGAAUGUUAAGUAGAAGGCUGCGGGGUUGGAGAAGUGUCACACCACCAGGAGGUUUCUGUCUUCACAAUAGGGUAUUACAUAGUAUGCCUGCAUAAUGCAUUGCACCUCCUGUUGUUGGUAUUUGCAAAUACUGUUUGAUUACAAAAUGAUGAAACUGUUUCUCCUAAUUGGGGAGAAUAACAAUAAUAAACUAAAACAACAAUAUCAAAAGUCUUUGAGGGGCUGGCCCUGUGGCCAAGUGGUUAAGUUCUCAUGCUCUGCUUUGGUGGCCCAGGGUUCGCAGGUUCGAAUCCCGGGUGCAGACCUAGCAAUGUUCAUCAAGGCAGACUGAGGUGGCCUCCCACAUAGCAGAACUAGAAGGACCUACAACUAGAAUACACAACUAUGUACUGGGGGGCUUUGGGGAGAAGAAGGAAAAAAAAGAAGUCUGAAAAGAUUUCAGAGGUUUGCAAAGCCAUUCACUGAUGUGUCCCUAAGGCCAGAAAUGGAGUAGGGCUUGGUCAAGUGGUGGUUCUAAGAAGCUGCCUAAUGAAAUUCUUUUUUUCAAUAGGAAUAUAAUAAUGUGUGGGGUAGAGAAAAACCACUCAAGCUUUUAAGCAUUCUAACUAGUGGAAAUUAGAUUCUGAUGAUGAAAUCACAAAAUGAUUUGAACAGAGAGAAGGGGAGUCAACAGCAAAAGAAGACAGAUGAGCUUAGAUUUUCAAUGAACCUACUGGAUUUUCACAUGUACAUGAUGCCUGGUGUGUCAGAACGUCCAGAAGGACCAAAGUCCAGAAUUAGCAGUGAUUAUAAAGGAAGCCCGGCCAGCACAAAGGUUGCUCAUCUGCUUCCUUAUUGAAGUCUAUUUCUAGCAGAAGGAUGAACAACGCAAGGGCAGGCCCUCUGCAGGGGGAGGCAUGGAGUGGUAACGUCAGAGAGACAGAGGGAGUGCCCAGUUCCGGUUUGUUUCCAACUCUGCCUCCCCUGAGAAUAGUCCUCAAAGUGGGAGAAGAAGUUACAAAGAUCAUAUGGAGUGAAAUAAAGCUCCCAACAGGAGAGGAGAUGUUAGUGGAACCCCCUCAACCCCUUUCAGGGGCAAAGUCCACCUGUCACAUUCCCCAAAGGUGGUCAUCCAGGUUGACUCGCGUCCCUGAAUCAGCCCUCUGGGGAGGUGGGCUAACCAGAGACACAUCCAUUUAUUAGUCCUAGAUUUAAACACAGAGGAGGAAACUGAAACCUG